AUCUAAAUUAAUGUUUCCUGUAAGUCCUGCUUGAGGAAAUAGAAAUUUUCAAGUGCUCUAGAAUGAAAGCCAUUCAUGGGAGUUAAAGACCAGUGAAUCACAUCAUAAUCAACUAAAAAAGAAAUAGUCAUUGUGUGCAGAGAACAGAGAUUCAGGAGGCCAAGGCUACCUCCCAGAAAGAGGAAUGCAGGCCUGGGAAAUUAUAGGUAUCCCAUCCCAGCGGGAGGCAUUCAGUCCUAGAGACCUGUUCCUAAAGUUCUGUGUUAAAUCUCACGAUCCACCUGCCAACGACUUCCUUUGUUCAGCUACAACUUUUGAAGACUCAAGAAUAACAGCCUGAACAGCAGCCCAGACCCAUAAGGCCUCAACUCAUAAGCCUUGGAACUACCUGCCUUUCAUGCAUUGGAAGCGAACACCUGCUGGUUACCACAGAGAAGGAGGUUUCAUCCUUUCUCAGCUUUACCAUUUGAUUUUAAGCAACUAGCUGGGGAAAUUCAGAAGUUAAUGAGCCCUUCUCUUGUCCUUGGAAGAGUCACAGGAUGCAGCUGUCAGGAAGAAUGGUGUAGAAGUCUUACAGAUACUCUGGAAUCGUCAGACAGCUUUUCCUAAUGAGCUGCUUUAUUUGGGCUGAAGCAGUGGCGACCCUGAAUGUGUCAAGCAACAAAAAUAACUGCUUAAAACCAAUGUGUCUGAUGAGAAACAGCCAACGACAUUUGGUGUGAUUGCUUUAAAGGCUGGAUAUAAUUCAGGAGAGUAAGACAGAAGAAAUCCAAUCAUAGGAUUCUGAAGAGAUGACAAAAGCCCUGCUGUUCUGCUCCAAGAUGCCUUCCUGUUCCUCUGCAACUGCAGCCGCCAUUUUGGGACUAUGAAGGAAGGUCAUGCCUGAGAGGAAAUGCUCAAGAUGGCAGAGUGGGAACAUGAGAAAAUAGGAAGGCAGGAUCUUUUUUGAGGGGGUGGGCAGGAUCUCCCUAUGCAGUUCAAGCUGGUCUUAAACUCUCUUUGUAGCUGUUCUUGAACUCACUAGGAUGACACUGAUGACAUUAAAAAACUAAAUUAAGUACUUUCAAAUUUCAUUACUUAAAAUAUACAAAUUAGGGUUUUUCUCACUGGCACCCAGAAUCAAGUUAAGCUUCAACAAUAUCAUUUUACAAUAUUUUUAUCAAGAGCUAGAAGAUCCUUUAUUUAUAACUAGGAAGGGAGGCCUCUUCCCUUAGUUUCCAUUCCAAGACCUUUUCCCUGCUAGCCUGCAGCUCUAUAGGAUGUGCUACCAUCACUGAGAAAGGAAGCCUAUUCCAAGCAUUAGGCAAACUAACAGGUGUAUCAAAUAUGAAAGAGUUCAAGCAAUUAAUAGCAUUCACUAGCGAAGAAUAGACCAAAAGGGCAGGCUUGAAUAUACAGCAUUUGUUAAAUUUAUCAUUCUGGAAUGCCUAUCUAGAAUUAAUGAAUCCUUAAGGUUAUCCAAAUGAAGCAUGUAAGAGUGAAAAUGUAGGCAGUAAGAAUGGCUGCCAGAAAUGGCCAAGAUGAAAUAUAACAAAAGCAAAUGAAAGUCACAGAUUUACAUCCUAGAAAAUGCAGUGCACAAAUUUAGAAAAGAUCUAACAAGGAGCCCUAACUGGUUUUAACUGCUCUCCAAUUUGGUAUUAUAUGGCUGUCAUAAAUACGUGCUAUCUCACCUUCAUUAACUGAGCACAAAGUUCUAGGUCCAACUAGAUAUUAAAAUUAUAUGAGAACAUUUUAGAAACUAAUUAACAAAAUUCAUUUUUAAAGUACUUUUAGGUUCACAGCAAAUUGAGUAAAGAUGUUAGGAGUUCUCAUAAACGCUGCCUAGUCUCUCCGAACACACUCUCAAUCUGCCCAUUAUCAACAGUCUAACCACCCACACUAUCAGGCCUACGUCACAACUACUGAAUGUUUACACUGACAGGUCACCCUCCCCCAAUGCCCGUGGAUUACAUUAGGAUUCAUUUCUGGUGUUGUGCGUUCUAUGAGUUUUGACAGAUGUAUUGUGACAUGUACCUACAUUGCAAUACUGUACAGAGCAGUUCCAGUGUCCUAAAAUCCUGUGCUCUGCCCACUCAUUCCUCUCUCCUCCAUAAUCCCUGACAAUCACUAAUCUUCUUACUCUUUCCAUAACUUUUCCUUUUUCAGAAUGCCUACUGGUUUGACCCAUACAGUAUGCAGACUUUUCAGAUUGGUUUUUACUAAUAUGUACUUUUAGAUUUCUCCACAGCUCUUCCUACCGUUAUAGAUCAUUUCUUUUUAAUACUGAAUAAUUGUCCAUUAUCGAGAUUUUCUAAUUCAUACCUAUUAAAGGAUAUCUUAGCUUCCAAGUUUAGGUGAUGAUGAAUUAAACUGCUUCAAAAACACGUGUGCAAGUUUUUGGGUGAACAUUAAUUCUGAGUUCAUUUCGGCAAAUACAAAAGGUACAUGAUUAUAAGAUCCUAUGGUAAGAGUAUGUUUAGUUUUUUAAGUCUUUCAAAGCAAAUAUACUGAUUUAUAGUCUUACCAGCAAUGCAUAGAAUUAUCUUGUGUUUCUGUGCAGCUUUUUAAAAACAUCACCAUCUAGACCCAAAUCCAGCCCUAGUAAAUCAGAAUAUCCUGAGAAUGAACCUGGCUUUGCACAUUUUAUAAAAUUCCUCAGACAACAGCCAGUGAUGCUGGUCUAGACUCUCAAUCAAGCAAGAACUGCUGAGGUUAACUCUGAGUAGAUCUUUUAGGCAGGAUAUCAAUUAAUCCUGAGAACUGUGGUUUCAAAAAGGCAUUUAAAUGUUGAAUUGCAAUCUAGGGAAGCCAAACAGGAAGCUGUGGUAUCUUGCAAUCAAGUCACAGGAUGAGGUGAAAAAUGAGGACAUUUUAUCUAUAAGUGAAAGGACAAAACCCUUCAGGAAUAUUGUCCCUAACCUUUAUAGUAACAAACAAACAAAAAAAAAUCCCAGAAAAUCAGCACUUAAAACCUAUGUCUCAUCAAAUCCAAACCCAUAGUGACUUCUCCAAGAACAUCUCCAAAAUAAACACUAAACUCUGUCUCCAGUCUAAAUUUCAAAUGUUGUUUCCAUGAUUACCCCCAAUUCACUUCAGAAUUCACUAAUACUGAACUACUUGUUUCCUUCUAAGCCCAAAGAAUCCUGGCAACAAGCCUUACAUUAAAGCUGUUCUUUUUUAUCUAACUCCAGUUUUUCUUUUCUUCACAUCUUCCUAAACACAAACUCUAUUCCACGACCAUUCCAAAUUUUUCUUAAACACCUCAAGUCAGAUAAAUUCUCCAUCCUCAGAAGUCUCACUGCAUUUUACACUGGCUGCUGUCUUGUACUUAAUAUUUUCUUAUUUUUUACUAUGCUAGUACAUGUUUGCAGUACAUGAUACCUUCAUUCAUCUUAGGGGAGUAGGCACAUGGAUCUAACAUAUUUUAAUUGUUUUUAUUCUCUUCCCCUCCCUCCCUUGGUUCUCCAUCCCUAGAUCUAUUUCCUGUUUUCAAAAGGUUCUCUACCUGUUUCCUAUUGUCUUUCCUUUUGUUUUUUCAAAUCAUUUAUAUUUCAGGUUUCUCAUAUAAGAGAAGUUAUAUAAUAUUUAAGCUUGUGUGUCUAUUUCACUUGAAAUGAUAAUAUCAAAAAAUUAUAAUAUCAAGAUUCAUCCACUUUACUGCAAAUAAUGUAUUCCUAUUCAUGGCAAAAUAACACUCCAUUAAUUUAUAUCAUUUGCUUUAUCCAUUUGUUUAAUAUGGGUAUGUAUUAAGGAAGGCACUUUCAAGAUCCUUCUGUAAACAUGGGUUACAUUUAUCAAUGUGGUAUGAUGUCUUAGUACUUAAUAUUUUCUGCUUUGCUUUAUACAUGUAUGUGUGUUCUUUGCCUAAUAAGAAUUCUUGUGCCUCAUAUCUCCUAUCAAAUUCUAAUUUUAUUCCUUCAAGUUUCCACCAAAAUUGAAAAUAGUAGCAUAUCACAGGAAAUAGCCAAUGAGUUUGAUUAACUGAGUCCAGGAAUGGUGGCAGAUUUGAGCCACAAAGAAGUUACAUGAUUUAUCUAGGAUCAUAAAGGUAAUUUAUGUUUUAGCCAGAAUUUGCCUCAAAUAUUUUAUAGAGCUUUUCAUGUUAUAUGUUUUAAGUUAUAUCAAGAAGCAUUUUGGAUGCACUUGGAUAACAAGGAACCAACCGUAGAAGAACAUGUGGACUCUUAGGUUAAGUCUCCAAAGGGCAGGAAGAAAGCUGGGAGGAGUCUAAAAUGUUUAUUAAACUCAAAGCCUGCUGUUAUUUUGGAACAAUGUGUUGCCUCAGAUAAUUAAAGUCAAACUCAAGUACUGCAAACCAAAGCCUAUCACUGUAGUUACAAAUAUACGGCUGUCAAAGUUCACAAAUACACAGAAACCUCCAUUUCUUUUCUUUUUUUUUAGAAACCUCCAUUUCCAAUUAAGCAGAUCAUAUUAUGGAGUUGAGAACACAUUUCCUGAACAAAUCAAUCUGGAAAAUGCUGUUUGCACGCCGUCAUAUUAAAAUACAGCAAUGAAUCAUUUUAACAGCUUCUCUUUCAUGUCACACAUGGAAAAUAACAAAGGGAACCUCUUUAACCAAAAUAGAAAAAGAGACAUGAGAAGAAGAGUGUGGAAUCAGAGAAGCUGGUAGACAAACUGUAAAAAUACACAGAUUUUUGUUUUAUAGGUUACUGUUUUACCCAAAGUGGCAAUUUAUAUGAAUGACCAGCAAUAUACUUGAAGUUAACGUCAACAUUAGAAAAGCCUUCACAAUCUGUUCCAGUGAGGAAAUCAAUCAUGCUGUAAAGCUGAGAUACUCUUAAGGAAUAAUAAAUUAUGUAUAAAAUACUUUCAAUGAUUGACUUGUAAAAAUGGGUUGGGUAGUCAUGUUAUAAAGAAGCCCAAUACGUAAGGACAGCGAAUUGCAAAAAGAUAAAAUUGGGUCUGAUCAUUUUAAUGAUUCCAACUGUGCUUGUGAUAAAUUUCAUAUAAAAGCAUUGAAAACCAGACUUUUUAUAAAAGAAAGUGUCCCUUCAGUAAAAUGUGUGACCGUUUGCCAGUGACCCUGCACUGCUGU
Cavia porcellus (domestic guinea pig) is the source of this 5038-nucleotide long non-coding RNA. RefSeq lists it as uncharacterized. The record is from RefSeq and is a predicted model, not a curated record. The transcript is spliced from 3 exons. Lineage: Eukaryota; Metazoa; Chordata; Mammalia; Rodentia; Caviidae.